UUUCUUUAACGCUUCCCAUCUUAUGGUUUGUUUGGUUGACAUGAUACAUGCAGUUGCAUAGAGACCCAAAUGUUCUCUUUGCCAGGUAUAAGCUCCCUCACCCACUCCAGUACAAGAUCAUUGUUAGGAUCCACACAACGAGCCAGUCCUCCCCGACGCAGGCCUACACCCAGGCUAUCAAUGAUCUAGACAAAGAGAUUGAGUACCUUAAGCAAGCUUUUGAGACACCAACAGACCAUCAUUGAACCUUUUCUACUUUAUGAUACAAAGAUGUGAACUAUGGACUACUUGAUGAACUACUAGAUGUUCAACACAGGAAUGCCUUUGGCAAAAUUUGCAUAUUCACUC
Long non-coding RNA from Zea mays, 348 nucleotides. RefSeq lists it as uncharacterized. The record is from RefSeq and is a predicted model, not a curated record. The transcript has 3 exons. Lineage: Eukaryota; Viridiplantae; Streptophyta; Magnoliopsida; Poales; Poaceae.